GACGAACGCUGGCGGCGUGCCUAAUACAUGCAAGUCGAGCGGAAGUUGGAGAGCUUGCUCUUCAACUUUAGCGGCGGACGGGUGAGUAACACGUGGGCAACCUGCCCUGCAGAUCGGGAUAACUCCGCGAAACCGGUGCUAAUACCGAAUAGUUUUCGCCACCUCCUGGUGGCGUACGGAAAGACGGUUUCGGCUGUCACUGCAGUAUGGGCCCGCGGCGCAUUAGCUAGUUGGUGGGGUAACGGCCCACCAAGGCAACGAUGCGUAGCCGACCUGAGAGGGUGGUCGGCCACACUGGGACUGAGACACGGCCCAGACUCCUACGGGAGGCAGCAGUAGGGAAUCUUCCGCAAUGGACGAAAGUCUGACGGAGCAACGCCGCGUGAGUGACGAAGGUUUUCGGAUCGUAAAACUCUGUUGUGAGGGAAGAACAAGUACCAACUAACUACUGGUACCUUGACGGUACCUCACCAGAAAGCCACGGCUAACUACGUGCCAGCAGCCGCCGUAA
This 511-nucleotide ribosomal RNA is filed under the name uncultured bacterium. RNAcentral's name for it is "partial 16S ribosomal RNA". It matches the Rfam family "Bacterial small subunit ribosomal RNA", at positions 28 to 523 of the family's 1533-position model. The record is from RNAcentral.